GAUGAACGCUGGCGGCGUGCCUAAUACAUGCAAGUCGAGCGAACGGACGAGAAGCUUGCUUCUCUGAUGUUAGCGGCGGACGGGUGAGUAACACGUGGAUAACCUACCUAUAAGACUGGGAUAACUUCGGGAAACCGGAGCUAAUACCGGAUAAUAUUUUGAACCGCAUGGUUCAAAAGUGAAAGACGGUCUUGCUGUCACUUAUAGAUGGAUCCGCGCUGCAUUAGCUAGUUUGUAAGGUAACGGCUUACCAAGGCAACGAUGCAUAGCCGACCUGAGAGGGUGAUCGGCCACACUGGAACUGAGACACGGUCCAGACUCCUACGGGAGGCAGCAGUAGGGAAUCUUCCGCAAUGGGCGAAAGCCUGACGGAGCAACGCCGCGUGAGUGAUGAAGGUCUUCGGAUCGUAAAACUCUGUUAUUAGGGAAGAACAUAUGUGUAAGUAACUGUGCACAUCUUGACGGUACCUAAUCAGAAAGCCACGGCUAACUACGU
This 496-nucleotide ribosomal RNA is filed under the name uncultured bacterium. Its description in RNAcentral is "partial 16S ribosomal RNA". It matches the Rfam family "Bacterial small subunit ribosomal RNA", at positions 28 to 506 of the family's 1533-position model. The record is from RNAcentral.